UACGUAGGGGGCGAGCGUUGUCCGGAUUUAUUGGGCGUAAAGAGCGUGUAGGCGGCUAGGUAGGUCCGUUGUGAAAACUCGAGGCUCAACCUCGAGACGCCGAUGGAAACCAUCUAGCUAGAGUCCGGAAGAGGAGAGUGGAAUUCCUGGUGUAGCGGUGAAAUGCGCAGAUAUCAGGAAGAACACCCGUGGCUAAGGCGGCUCUCUAGUACGGUACUGACGCUGAGACGCGAAAGCGUGGGGAGCGAACAGG
This 253-nucleotide ribosomal RNA is filed under the name uncultured bacterium. RNAcentral describes it as "partial 16S ribosomal RNA". It matches the Rfam family "Bacterial small subunit ribosomal RNA", at positions 524 to 776 of the family's 1533-position model. The record is from RNAcentral.